UAAAAUGAAAAAUCUGUGAGCCCACACUUAUAGACUAGUAAAUAAACAAAUGAAUGGAGGCAAAGGGAGAGUUCUUUCUUAUAAAUUCUAAUUAUUAAACAUAGACGGGAUGACAGAAAUAAAGCAAACACCACAGUAAUAGUCGUUUCUGGCAAAAAUUAUCAAUGGAUGCUAAAUUGGGCAAAAUUAUGAUGAAAAACAUGAUAUUUACAUGAUCUCAAAGUUUCUUGUCUCCCUCACCCUCCCUAAGGAACUCAUUAAUUACAAACGGAAAAACAGUGAUGUCACAAUGGAGAAAACUGGCAGACACGGCUUUUAUCAUGUAAUCAACGUUACGAUCCCCCAGCUAUGGAUGUAGUGACGUUGGCAACAUGUAGCUUCUACUAUGAAGUUCUGAGAAGGGACCAACGUAACUUGUGGGAUGUUCUUACCCCCAGAUCGAUAACUUGAAUUUAGACCUGUGCGAACAUCAGAGAAAUCCAAAUUUGGGGACAUUCUACAAAGUAGUUGGCCAGUACUCUUCAAAAACGUCAAGUUCAUGAAAGACCAAGAAAGACGGAGGAAGGGUCCUAGAUUGGAGGAAAUGAAGGAGAUGAUAACUAAAGAGUAUGAGCACCUGGAUUGGAUCCUGGAAAAGCAGAACGUUAGUGGAACAACGGCUCACCACCUCCUGGAGUUCCAGACCCACAUGUCUGCACUAUCGUUUGCUAACUGGACACGGUGCUUGAUUUCCUGGAAGGCAUCUGAUGGCAGCCACGGAGGAGAGGCCAUGCAAAACCCACAUGCAAAGACUUGAUUGCAAAGACCUGGGGGGCUGGGGUGCGGGUGCUGCCAGGACCAAGUUCCAGAGCCUUUAUUUUGAUUUCCAUUGAUUCUCUUAUUUUAAAGAAGCCUUUGAACCAACAAGAGAAAAAGAAAAUCCUUUCUUCCUUAAUUAAUCUCUCUUCCAAUUGUUAGAUUGCAAACUUUGAUUACAAAAUAACCCGCCUGCCCCCGGGCGGAUUAAAUCACGCAGGGAGGGGCAGGAGGCAGAGAGGGGAGGUGCGUUUGUCUUAACCGAGAAUCCCGUCAUUGGAGAGAUGAGAAAAGAAAUUAUUUUCGAUGGAAGAGAACACAACCUAGCACAUUCUCUCAAAACAAUUGAAACUAAUGUGUUGACAGUGAAGGAAAAACGUGUCUGCUUUAAUGGUCUGUAGAGACAGACUGUAAUUUGUAAUACCUCUGAUCAGAAAUUGAGGCGACAUAUGGACGAAAAAUGAAAUAAAGCUCAGUUAACUUUCUGCCAGGCACAGUGAGGGAGGAGGGGAGAGGAGCUGAACACAUUUCCGUGUGACACUGCGGCAGGGAUGCUUCUGGCGCUGACGAAGGGGACAGCUUGUGCACAGAGAAGGGUGCCAUCAGCGCGUUCCACAGCUCGAGGCAGCCGCCUCCCCGUCUCCUGUGGGUGCUGAGAGCUGUGCUCAGCUAAUUGCGAGGACGCUGGGAGGGGCUCGUGGCUCCAGUGGGGGCCACGCUGCGGUGACUGGGGCAGCAGAAGAGUCGAAGUGGCUUUUAGUGGGAGCCCAGCUUUAUUCCUAGGGGAAGAACCUCUUAUUUCUGAAACCCUCUGGCACUAUGCCCCAAGCAUUGUUUUAUUUAUCUGUUUCCCUCCCUGACUGUGAGCUCCUUGAGGGCAGGGAUUACACGUGAUACAAAUGAUGAUGAUGAUGAUGUGAUAAUCGUUACUGUACAUUGAACACUUGCUAUGUGCCAGUUAGGGCUUAGCCACCUUUCUUACCUUUU
Choloepus didactylus (southern two-toed sloth) is the source of this 1782-nucleotide long non-coding RNA. RefSeq lists it as uncharacterized. The record is from RefSeq and is a predicted model, not a curated record. NCBI's taxonomy places the organism in Eukaryota, Metazoa, Chordata, Mammalia, Pilosa, Megalonychidae. The transcript is spliced from 3 exons.